GUGAAGUAUGAAGUUAUGAGGAGAAAGGAACAGAGGACAACCAAACAGAGAAAGUGUAGCCGUAUCUACUAGAGCUGAAGACAUUCAGAUUUAUGAUCCAACAAUUCUACUCUGAAGUGCAGUGGUGUAUAUACUGCAACAAUGUGUACUCGUGUGCACUGAGAACUAGAUAUGAAAAAACCUUACAGAAAUAUACAUAAUAGCAAAAAAAAAAACUGGAAACAACAAAAAUGUUCAUUGACCAUAUACAAUGAUAAAUGUGGUAUACUCGUAGAAUGGAAAACUACACAACAUUGAAAAUGAACAAACUAAAACUGUACACAGCAACAUGAACGAAUUCCACAGAUAAUAUUGAGUGAAAGAUACCAGACACCAAAUAAUAUCCCAUACGAUUUCAUUUAUAUUAAAUGUUUUUUUUUUUGAGAUGGAGUCUCGCUCUGUUGCCCAGGCUGGAGUGCAGUGGCACAAUCUUGGCUCACUGCAACCUCUGCCUUUCAGGUUCAAGCUAUUCUCCCACUUCAGCCUCCCCAUUAGCUGGGACUACAGGUACCUGCCAGCACGCCCAA
This 566-nucleotide long non-coding RNA is filed under the name Pongo abelii (Sumatran orangutan). RNAcentral's name for it is "lincRNA". Lineage: Eukaryota; Metazoa; Chordata; Mammalia; Primates; Hominidae. The record is from RNAcentral.